This 70-nucleotide transfer RNA is filed under the name Dipodomys ordii (Ord's kangaroo rat). It matches the Rfam family "tRNA". From Rfam's summary of the family: Transfer RNA (tRNA) molecules are approximately 80 nucleotides in length. Their secondary structure includes four short double-helical elements and three loops (D, anti-codon, and T loops). Lineage: Eukaryota; Metazoa; Chordata; Mammalia; Rodentia; Heteromyidae. The record is from Rfam by way of RNAcentral.
GGGAAUGUGGCUUAGUGGUAGAGCGCUUGCCUUGCAAGCAUGAGGCCCUGGGUUCGAUUCCUCAGCACCA